This 732-nucleotide unclassified non-coding RNA is filed under the name Baloskion pallens. RNAcentral describes it as "partial miscellaneous RNA". Lineage: Eukaryota; Viridiplantae; Streptophyta; Magnoliopsida; Poales; Restionaceae. The record is from RNAcentral.
UUGUAAAACGACGUUAUGCAUGAACGUAAUGCUCACAACUUCCCUCUGGACCUAGCUGCUGCUGAAGUUCCGUCCAUUAAUGGAUAAGACUUCUGUCUUAAUGUAUAUAAAUUUGUAAUUUUUAGAAGCAAUACCCAAUAUCUUGUUUUAGCAAGAUAUUGGGUAUUUUUUGUUUUCUUCUGUUUGAUUCCCAUCGAUUUUGGAUUCUAAAUCCUCAUUAACGAGUUUAACGACGAGAUUGAUUAUCGUCUUUUUCUUGAUAUUUCGUGUAAGUCAGAGUAGGCACGAAUUCCCCCAAUUUAUGACCUACCAUAUAAUCGGUUAUAUAAAUAGGUAAAUGCUCCUUUCCAUUAUGAAUAGCGAUUGUAUGGCCAAUCAUUGAGAGUGUAAUGGUAGAUGCCCGAGACCAAGUUACUAUUGUUUCUUUCUCCUUCCUCAUGUUGAGUUUUUCAAUCUUUCUGGUUAAAUGAUUAGCUACAAAAGGAUCUUCCUUUUCGACAAAAGACUUCUUUUUUACAAAAAGCUUUCUUUUUUGCAAACGUCUCACAGUUGAUUACUCCUUUUUUUACAUUGGAAAGGUUGGCAUUCUAUGCCCACUAUCUCGAUCUAAGUAUGGAAGUCAGAAUAAAUACAAGAAUGGUGAAUGGAAAAAAGAGAAAAUCCUUAAGGGGCGGAUGUAGCCAAAUGGAUUAAGGCAGUGGAUUGUGAAUCCACCAUGCGCGCCUGUGUGAA